This 1213-nucleotide long non-coding RNA is filed under the name Homo sapiens (human). Its description in RNAcentral is "HSALNT0322247". Lineage: Eukaryota; Metazoa; Chordata; Mammalia; Primates; Hominidae. The record is from RNAcentral.
CUUUUUGUAGGUGACCCUAUCUUUCUUUCUGGCUGCCCUUACAAUUUUUUCCUUCUUUUUGACUUUGGAGAAUCUGAAGAUUAUGUGUGUUGGUGUUAAUCUUCUCAUGGAGUAUCUUACUGAGGUUCUCUGAAUUUCCUGAAUUUGAAUGUUGGCUUGUCUUGCUAGGUUGGGGAAGUUCUCCUGGAUAAUAUCUUAAAUAGGGCUGCUGCAGUUUGCUGGGGUGAACUCCAGACCUGAAUUUCCUGGGUCUCUCCUGCACCCGGAGAUGUCACCAGUGGAGGCUGCAGAAGAGAAAAGAUGACUGCCUCUUCUUCUGGGAUCUCUGUCCCACAGGGACUCUGACCUGGUGCUGGUGGAAAUGCUUCUAUACAAGGUCACGCCAAAUGCCUAGUCAACCCUAAUGAGAGAACCUAGAUACCUCACCUGCCGAUGCAGCAUUCACUUGCCAUUUUCUUUCUUCUUGGUGGGCGUUUCCGACCAUAGCUGUUUCUAGUUGGCCAUCUUGGCACCCCACCUCUUAAUACUGUCACAAUUACAAUAGAAUUUGAACAUGAGUCUUGAUACGAAUAUUCAAACCAUAACAUCCAGUCUACUGAAGAGGCCAUUAAAGUCACUGACCAUUUGGAAGACCAAGGCGGGAAGAUUACUUGAGGUCAGGAGUUCGAGGCCAGCCUGGCCAACAUGGUGAAACCCUGUCUCUACCAAAAAUACAACACUUAGCCAGGUGUGUUGGCACAUGCCUGUAGUCACAACUACUCGGGAGGCUGAGGCAGGAGAAUCGCUUGAACCCAGAAGGCGGAGGUUGCAGUGAGCAGAGAUGGUGCCACUGCACAACAGCCUUUUUAGACUCUGUCUCAAAAAAAGAAAAAAGAAAAAAGUUACUUAUCAUGAUAGUUCAAGAUGAUGCUUUGUCUUGGAUACUUUUACACAUGUAAAGUCAAAUGAGAGAAUUUAAGUUAUUUGGGGAAUUAUUUUAAAAGCCAUAUUGUUCCCCUUAUCAAAUACUCCUAAAACCUACUAAAACCUAAGUGCCACUUUCUUAGAUUUUCCAGAACACUCUAAGCAUUUAUAACAGUAGUUAGUACAACGUUCUGUAAAUAUUGGUUUAGGGGUUAGUCUCUUCAGUUUAGUAACAUUUCAUUAACCACCAUGAAUGGCAUAGUGUAUAUUUUUCAUUUGUAUUCCACAAAAAUUUGUAAAAUAAACAUCC